AAGGAGGUGAUCCAGCCACAUUGGGACUGAGGCACGGCCCAAACUCCUACGGGAGGCAGCAGUGGGGAAUCUUGCACAAUGGAGGAAACUCUGAUGCAGCGAUGCCGCGUGAGUGAAGAGGGCCUUUGGGUUGUAAAGCUCUUUCGUCGGGGAAGAAAAUGACUGUACCCGAAUAAGAAGGUCCGGCUAACUUCGUGCCAGCAGCCGCGGUAAUACGAAGGGACCUAGCGUAGUUCGGAAUUACUGGGCUUAAAGAGUUCGUAGGUGGUUGAAAAAGUUGGUGGUGAAAUCCCAGAGCUUAACUCUGGAACUGCCAUCAAAACUUUUCAGCUAGAGUAUGAUAGAGGAAAGCAGAAUUUCUAGUGUAGAGGUGAAAUUCGUAGAUAUUAGAAAGAAUACCAAUUGCGAAGGCAGCUUUCUGGAUCAUUACUGACACUGAGGAACGAAAGCAUGGGUAGCGAAGAGGAUUAGAUACCCUCGUAGUCCAUGCCGUAAACGAUGUGUGUUAGACGUUGGAAAUUUAUUUUCAGUGUCGCAGGGAAACCGAUAAACACACCGCCUGGGGAGUACGACCGCAAGGUUAAAACUCAAAUGAAUUGACGGGGACCCGCACAAGUAGUGGAGCAUGUGGUUUAAUUCGAAGAUACGCGCAGAACCUUACCAACACUUGACAUGUUCGUCGCGACUCUAAGAGAUUAGAGUUUUCGGUUCGGCCGGACGAAACACAGGUGCUGCAUGGCUGUCGUCAGCUCGUGUCGUGAGAUGUUGGGUUAAGUCCCGUAACGAGCGCAACCCUUGUCCUUAUUUGCCAGCACGUAAUGGUGGGAACUCUAAGGAGACUGCCGGUGACAAACCGGAGGAAGGUGGGGGACGACGUCAAGUCAUCAUGGCCCUUAUGACCAGGGCUACACACGUGCUACAAUGGAGCGUACAGAGGGUUGCUAAGCCGCGAGGUGGAGCCAAUCCCAGAAAACGUUUCGUAGUCCGGAUCGAAGUCUGCAACUCGACUUCGUGAAGUCGGAAUCGCUAGUAAUCGCGAAUCAGCAUGUCGCGGUGAAUACGUUCCCGGGCCUUGUACACACCGCCCGUCACACCAUGGGAGUGGGUUGCAAGAGAAGUGGCUAGUCUAACCUUCGGGAGGACGGUCACCACUUUGUGAUUCAUGACUGGGGUGAAGUCGUAACAAGGUAGCCCUAGGGGAACCU
RNAcentral lists this ribosomal RNA (1205 nucleotides) under uncultured marine bacterium. RNAcentral describes it as "partial 16S ribosomal RNA". It matches the Rfam family "Bacterial small subunit ribosomal RNA", at positions 294 to 1513 of the family's 1533-position model. The record is from RNAcentral.